Molecule: non-coding RNA, 749 nt
Organism: Linepithema humile (Argentine ant)
Lineage: Eukaryota; Metazoa; Arthropoda; Insecta; Hymenoptera; Formicidae
Source: RefSeq, a predicted model, not a curated record
AUGCCAAAAAUAAUUAUUUAUAAACUGUGUAAUUAUUCAUCGCGAAAUCUCCGUGAUUUUUCAUCUCACAGAAGAUUAAAUUUCUCGAAAAAAAUUAUAUAGUGUUGACGAUCGAUAAGUGUGGUUUCAACCUUGUUUAACCGUCUAAUUACCAUCGUCAUUUACAUGCAUAUGUGUGACUCAAUAGCGGAGCGUAUUAUGGUGUGCGUUGUUACACUUGAAAGGAUACAACGUAUUAAAAGCGCAAUUUAAGCCUGUUCCGUAAUGCGUCAUCCUUCUAAGAAAUGAGUAAACAUGUACCUCAAGAUGUCGGUCUGUAUAUAAAUAAGCGUAUUUUUUACUCGUAAAGUGGAGUUUUUCUAUUAUCACUAUCGUGUGUUUCUCUGUUGAAUAUAUCCGCUCAUGCAUACAUAAUGACGAAAAAACGGUGGGCGCGACACACGAAAGCUAAAUCUAAAGAAACGAGGAAACGAAUGAUAUCUUGCAAACGUCAUUGAUAUCGUUAACCCACUCGUUAUCACACUUUGUUAUAAGAAAUUUGUUAUGUUAUCGUAGUUCAUAAAUUACUGGCUACGUUCGGCGAAACAAAGUGCCCGCUAAGCAAUUAAUAUGAUUAUUGGAUUUAAUAAAAUAAAUUUUAAAUGCCAAUCAAAUCCAAUUAUUAUUAUUCGCUCAAUGAGCGCUUCGUUCUGCUGAAGGCAGCCACAGUGUAGAUACUUAAUAAACACGCUGAAAAAUUUUCUACACAA